GAGUUUGAUCCUGGCUCAGGAUGAACGCUGGCGGCGUGCCUAAUACAUGCAAGUCGAGCGAACAGAUAAGGAGCUUGCUCCUUUGACGUUAGCGGCGGACGGGUGAGUAACACGUGGGUAACCUACCUAUAAGACUGGAAUAACUCCGGGAAACCGGGGCUAAUGCCGGAUAACAUUUAGAACCGCAUGGUUCUAAAGUGAAAGAUGGUUUUGCUAUCACUUAUAGAUGGACCCGCGCCGUAUUAGCUAGUUGGUAAGGUAACGGCUUACCAAGGCAACGAUACGUAGCCGACCUGAGAGGGUGAUCGGCCACACUGGAACUGAGACACGGUCCAGACUCCUACGGGAGGCAGCAGUAGGGAAUCUUCCGCAAUGGGCGAAAGCCUGACGGAGCAACGCCGCGUGAGUGAUGAAGGUCUUCGGAUCGUAAAACUCUGUUAUUAGGGAAGAACAAAUGUGUAAGUAACUGUGCACGUCUUGACGGUACCUAAUCAG
RNAcentral lists this ribosomal RNA (495 nucleotides) under uncultured bacterium. RNAcentral describes it as "bacterial SSU rRNA". It matches the Rfam family "Bacterial small subunit ribosomal RNA", at positions 9 to 486 of the family's 1533-position model. The record is from RNAcentral.